GACAGAGGGUGCAAACGUUGCUCGGAAUUACUGGGCGUAAAGCGCGUGUAGGCGGAUUGGUGUGUCGGAUGUGAAAUCCCCAGGCUCAACCUGGGAACUGCAUUCGAAACUGCCAGUCUCGAGUAGUGGAGAGGGAAGUGGAAUUCCUGGUGUAGAGGUGAAAUUCGUAGAUAUCAGGAGGAACACCAGUGGCGAAGGCGGCUUCCUGGACACUAACUGACGCUGAGACGCGAAAGCGUGGGGAGCAAACAGG
This 253-nucleotide ribosomal RNA is filed under the name uncultured bacterium. RNAcentral's name for it is "partial 16S ribosomal RNA". It matches the Rfam family "Bacterial small subunit ribosomal RNA", at positions 524 to 776 of the family's 1533-position model. The record is from RNAcentral.